Molecule: transfer RNA, 84 nt
Filed under: Caldifarciminota bacterium
Lineage: Bacteria; Pseudomonadati; Caldifarciminota
Description: candidate division WOR-3 bacterium (hot springs metagenome) tRNA-Leu
Rfam family: tRNA
About the family: Transfer RNA (tRNA) molecules are approximately 80 nucleotides in length.
Source: RNAcentral
GCGGAAGUGGCGGAAAUGGCAGACGCGCUGGAUUCAGGUUCCAGUGGGAAUAAUCCCGUGGGGGUUCAACUCCCCCCUUCCGCA